UACGGAGGGUGCAAGCGUUGUUCGGAUUUACUGGGCGUAAAGCGUGUUGAGGUGGAAUAUCAAGUCAGGUGUGAAAUCCCUCGGCUUAACCGAGGAGGGUCAUCUGAAACUGGUAUUCUUGAGUCCCGGAGAGGUGGGUGGAAUUCCCAGUGUAGAGGUGAAAUUCGUAGAGAUUGGGAGGAACAUCGGAGGCGAAAGCGACUCACUGGCCGGGCACUGACACUGACACACGAAAGCGUGGGUAGCAAACAGG
This 253-nucleotide unclassified non-coding RNA is filed under the name uncultured Myxococcales bacterium. Its description in RNAcentral is "contains 16S-23S intergenic spacer region". It matches the Rfam family "Bacterial small subunit ribosomal RNA", at positions 524 to 776 of the family's 1533-position model. Lineage: Bacteria; Pseudomonadati; Myxococcota; Myxococcia; Myxococcales. The record is from RNAcentral.